Molecule: unclassified non-coding RNA, 374 nt
Filed under: soil metagenome
Description: partial contains internal transcribed spacer 2 and large subunit ribosomal RNA
Rfam family: 5.8S ribosomal RNA (bases 1-120)
Source: RNAcentral
GAUGAAGAACGCAGCGAAAUGCGAUAAUUAAUGUGAAUUGCAGAAUUCCGUGAAUCAUCGAGUCUUUGAACGCACAUUGCGCCUCAUGGCAUUCCGUGAGGCAUGCCCAUCUCAGCGUUAGAAAAUAUUCUCAAAUUUUAGUUUUGUGCUAAAAUUUGGAUCAUGUCAAAGAAGCUGUUACUAUUAUUGUGAUCGCUCUUUGGAAAUUGAUAGGUCUUUGAGUUGCUACUCAUAGAACGUGAUGAAUCUUUCUUCGUUCUAUUGUAAUUCACUCUGGUAGUCCUAAAACUUGUAUGCCUGUGGCAUAUCUUGUAAUUUGACCUGAGAUUGGGUAGGGAUACCCGCUGAACUUAAGCAUAUCAAUAAGCGGAGGA